GCCAUGGGCAGGUUGAAGGUUGGGUAACACUAACUGGAGGACCGAACCGACUAAUGUUGAAAAAUUAGCGGAUGACUUGUGGCUGGGGGUGAAAGGCCAAUCAAACCGGGAGAUAGCUGGUUCUCCCCGAAAGCUAUUUAGGUAGCGCCUCGUGAAUUCAUCUCCGGGGGUAGAGCACUGUUUCGGCAAGGGGGUCAUCCCGACUUACCAACCCGAUGCAAACUGCGAAUACCGGAGAAUGUUAUCACGGGAGACACACGGCGGGUGCUAACGUCCGUCGUGAAGAGGGAAACAACCCAGACCGCCAGCUAAGGUCCCAAAGUCAUGGUUAAGUGGGAAACGAUGUGGGAAGGCCCAGACAGCCAGGAUGUUGGCUUAGAAGCAGCCAUCAUUUAAAGAAAGCGUAAUAGCUCACUGGUCGAGUCGGCCUGCGCGGAAGAUGUAACGGGGCUAAACCAUGCACCGAAGCUGCGGCAGCGACACUAUGUGUUGUUGGGUAGGGGAGCGUUCUGUAAGCCUGUGAAGGUGGCCUGUGAGGGUUGCUGGAGGUAUCAGAAGUGCGAAUGCUGACAUAAGUAACGAUAAAGCGGGUGAAAAGCCCGCUCGCCGGAAGACCAAGGGUUCCUGUCCAACGUUAAUCGGGGCAGGGUGAGUCGACCCCUAAGGCGAGGCCGAAAGGCGUAGUCGAUGGGAAACAGGUUAAUAUUCCUGUACUUGGUGUUACUGCGAAGGGGGGACGGAGAAGGCUAUGUUGGCCGGGCGACGGUUGUCCCGGUUUAAGCGUGUAGGCUGGUUUUCCAGGCAAAUCCGGAAAACCAAGGCUGAGGCGUGAUGACGAGGCACUACGGUGCUGAAGUGACAAAUGCCCUGCUUCCAGGAAAAGCCUCUAAGCAUCAGGUAACAUCAAAUCGUACCCCAAACCGACACAGGUGGUCAGGUAGAGAAUACCAAGGCGCUUGAGAGAACUCGGGUGAAGGAACUAGGCAAAAUGGUGCCGUAACUUCGGGAGAAGGCACGCUGAUAUGUAGGUGAAGCGACUUGCUCGUGGAGCUGAAAUCAGUCGAAGAUACCAGCUGGCUGCAACUGUUUAUUAAAAACACAGCACUGUGCAAACACGAAAGUGGACGUAUACGGUGUGACGCCUGCCCGGUGCCGGAAGGUUAAUUGAUGGGGUUAGCGGUAACGCGAAGCUCUUGAUCGAAGCCCCGGUAAACGGCGGCCGUAACUAUAACGGUCCUAAGGUAGCGAAAUUCCUUGUCGGGUAAGUUCCGACCUGCACGAAUGGCGUAAUGAUGGCCAGGCUGUCUCCACCCGAGACUCAGUGAAAUUGAACUCGCUGUGAAGAUGCAGUGUACCCGCGGCAAGACGGAAAGACCCCGUGAACCUUUACUAUAGCUUGACACUGAACAUUGAGCCUUGAUGUGUAGGAUAGGUGGGAGGCUUUGAAGUGUGGACGCCAGUCUGCAUGGAGCCGACCUUGAAAUACCACCCUUUAAUGUUUGAUGUUCUAACGUUGGCCCCUAAUCGGGGUUGCGGACAGUGUCUGGUGGGUAGUUUGACUGGGGCGGUCUCCUCCUAAAGAGUAACGGAGGAGCACGAAGGUUGGCUAAUCCUGGUCGGACAUCAGGAGGUUAGUGCAAUGGCAUAAGCCAGCUUGACUGCGAGCGUGACGGCGCGAGCAGGUGCGAAAGCAGGUCAUAGUGAUCCGGUGGUUCUGAAUGGAAGGGCCAUCGCUCAACGGAUAAAAGGUACUCCGGGGAUAACAGGCUGAUACCGCCCAAGAGUUCAUAUCGACGGCGGUGUUUGGCACCUCGAUGUCGGCUCAUCACAUCCUGGGGCUGAAGUAGGUCCCAAGGGUAUGGCUGUUCGCCAUUUAAAGUGGUACGCGAGCUGGGUUUAGAACGUCGUGAGACAGUUCGGUCCCUAUCUGCCGUGGGCGCUGGAGAACUGAGGGGGGCUGCUCCUAGU
This 1968-nucleotide ribosomal RNA is filed under the name Escherichia coli. RNAcentral's name for it is "partial 23S ribosomal RNA". It matches the Rfam family "Bacterial large subunit ribosomal RNA", at positions 733 to 2682 of the family's 2925-position model. The record is from RNAcentral. Lineage: Bacteria; Pseudomonadati; Pseudomonadota; Gammaproteobacteria; Enterobacterales; Enterobacteriaceae.